CCUCUCCUAAACUCCAUUAUUGGUUUUGUCUCUCUAGAGGACCCUAAUACACUGCCCAGCAGAAGCCAGGAAGGAAGCCCUGCCAGCUCAGAAGGUGGGCCAGGAGAGAAGGGUGUGGCCGGAAGGGUAGCCGGUGGGGGUGCUGCAUCCUCUUGGCCCCACGGGGAGCACCCUGUCACCCCUAACAGAUGAAGAGAAGGUGAGGGGGGAUUGAGUUACCUGCCCACUGGUGUGUCAAACUCCAUGAUGGGGGUGGGAACAUGCAGACCUGGCCCCUCCAAGGCCCACUGCUCCCCGGGCUGUGCGCCCCACAGUCUGUGCCAGGGGCUGCAGAAAGAGCCAUGGGAAGCCUGGCCCUGGUAGGGCACCAAGAUGGGGAGGGCUGGAUCCACCCUCCAGAGAACAAGAAUCCUGGGCAGUAGCCGGGACAUGGUGGGGGAGGCUGAAGGGUUGUCCCUGAGCAUCCCCAACAUGGAGCUCGGAAGUCUGGGCCAUGGGCAGGAAAGCACGAAGGUCAGGGCCAGCCUGGGGAACCAAGAGCUGUGCCACGAUCCCUUCCACCUGGGGCAGCUGCCCACAUGCCCGCCACUGGGUUCCAUCACCUGAGACUCCUGGCAGGUGCCUCUCUGAGUCUUUGUCCUGUGCUGGAAACUGGGAUGUGCAGCACACAUCUUCACACCCACAGCACGGACAGCGGGAAUAACACUUCCUUUGGGGAUCCAGGGUUUCUGGUGUCUCCAGAUUUUUCAGGCGCCACCAUGUUCCUCUCAUCCAGACGUCAGCACCCAAGGUGGAAGCAGGUCAUGGCAUGCCCGGCCCAGCUGCAGUCCGAGUGCAGAUCCCAUGGCGAGCGUGGGAUCCAGCCCAAAGCACAAGCCACGCACAGCCCGCCAGGUUGAGUGGGCAGGUACCUCCAACAGCCAGCCCAGGUUGAGUGGGCAGGUACCUCCAACAGCCUGGAGCCGUGAGGCCUUGCGCAGGGGCGUUGCCGGCCGUGGAGGUCUCUGGCUGGCAAAGUGGCACCGAAAGAGUCCUGUGUCAUAACCAGACUCACUUGUAGCUUCUGUUGCUCUCCCUAGCUAUUUGCAAAGCAUCCAGGAUAGGUUCAUCUAAAGACAUUCUGACUCAUCUUGGACACGAUCCACUUACUCUGUGGACCCUGUUCACAGAACCUGGAGUCCCUGCUCACCUUCCCCAACCCCUUAUUGCUGGGUCAUGUUCACAAGUUUCUGUCUCUUUUUGUUCCCAGUCCCGGUACCAGCUCAGGUCCAAUCAGCUUCUGAACCUCUACUGUGCAGCGCCUGAGACAGGGUGGGAGAGACACCGACAGUAAAGCUCAGCCAGGUGCAGACUGCAGCCUGGAAGCAAAGGCUGAGACAGGGUGGGAGAGACACCGACAGUAAAGCUCAGCCAGGUGCAGACUGCAGCCUGGAAGCAAAGGCUGAGACAGGGUGGGAGAGACACCGACAGUAAAGCUCAGCCAGGUGCAGACUGCAGCCUGGAAGCAAAGGCUGAGACAGGGUGGGAGAGACACGGACAGUAAAGCUCAGCCAGGUGCAGACUGCAGCCUGGAAGCAAAGGCUGAGACAGGGUGGGAGAGACACGGACAGUAAAGCUCAGCCAGGUGCAGACUGCAGAAUGGAAGCAAAGGCUGAGACAGGGUGGGAGAGACACGGACAGUAAAGCUCAGCCAGGUGCAGACUGCAGCCUGGAAGCAAAGGCUGAGACAGGGUGGGAGAGACACGGACAGUAAAGCUCAGCCAGGUGCAGACUGCAGAAUGGAAGCAAAGGCUGAGACAGAGUGGGAGAGACACCGACAGUAAAGCUCAGCCAGGUGCAGACUGCAGAAUGGAAGCAAAGGCUGAGACAGGGUGGGAGAGACACCGACAGUAAAGCUCAGCCAGGUGCAGACUGCAGCCUGGAAGCAAAGGCUGAGACAGGGUGGGAGAGACACUGACAGUAAAGCUCAGCCAGGUGCAGACUGCAGAAUGGAAGCAAAGGCUGAGACAGGGUGGGAGAGACAGGGACAAUAAAGCUCAGCCAGGUGCAGACUGCAGAAUGGAAGCAAAGGCUGAGACAGGGUGGGAGAGACACGGACAGUAAAGCUCAGCCAGGUGCAGACUGCAGCCUGGAAGCAAAGGCUGAGACAGGGUGGGAGAGACAGGGACAAUAAAGCUCAGCCAGGUGCAGACUGCAGAAUGGAAGCAAAGGCUGAGACAGGGUGGGAGAGACACGGACAGUAAAGCUCAGCCAGGUGCAGACUGCAGAAUGGAAGCAAAGGCUGAGACAGGGUGGGAGAGAGACGGACAGUAAAGCUCAGCCAGGUGCAGACUGCAGCCUGGAAGCAAGGGCAGUGCCAUCCUCUUUCGGGGCAUUUCUGGUCACUUCAGUCUGCUGGGGGGAUUCCGUGUCUCACCAGGAGACUCAGGCAUGGACCUGGGUUGCCACUUUCUUCCUGUUACAUGGAUCUCUCUACCAUGCCCCAGACCCAACACCUCAGCCUUCUCAAAGCUGCACUGCAGAAGUUCUAGCCAGAGCAGCCUGGUAAGAGAAAGACGUAAAGAGCAUCCAAAUACUUCCUUCCAAAUGAGGAAGCCAAAUGGUCCUUGUUUGCAUUCAACGUGAUCUUAUAUAUAGAAAACCCUAAAAGCUUUAUCAAAACAUUCUUAGAACAAACAAAUUCAGUAAAGUUGCAGGAUACAAAAUUAACAUACAAAACCCAGUAACAUUUCUACAUACCAAACUACCAAAAAAAACCAGGAAAGCAAUUCCAUUUACAAUAGCUACCAAAACCAAAAAACAAACCUAGGAAUAAAUUUAACCAAUGAGGCUGGGCGCAGUGGCUCAUACCUGUAAUACUAACACUUUGGGAGGCCGAGAUGGUGGAUCACGAGGUCAGGAGAUUGAGACCAUCCUGGCUAAUACAGUGAAACCCCAUCUCUACUAAAAAUACAAAAAAUUAGCCGGGCCUGGUGGCACACACCUGCAGUUCCAGCUAC
RNAcentral lists this long non-coding RNA (2999 nucleotides) under Homo sapiens (human). Its description in RNAcentral is "HSALNT0145640". The record is from RNAcentral. Lineage: Eukaryota; Metazoa; Chordata; Mammalia; Primates; Hominidae.